Triticum aestivum (bread wheat) is the source of this 108-nucleotide non-coding RNA. The record is from Rfam. Lineage: Eukaryota; Viridiplantae; Streptophyta; Magnoliopsida; Poales; Poaceae.
UAAACAUGGUUAGGGCAUAGAUUCAAAAUCUUAGAAUGUCUCCCCCAAGCUUCAUGUAAACUUUCAUCAUCCUCUUGAAUGAAUAGAGUGAUAUUCCUUCGUAAUUUA